GCUGGCCUCGUGGCGGCGGGUCAAAAUUUCAAAGAUGGGGAUCAUUUGUUAAAUACUACUGACAUGUACUGUUAACUUGUAGAAAUAAGGACUUUUGUAAGAUACAGUAAAACCUGGCAAUACUAAUUUAGAGACAGAUGGGCAAGAUCUCCAGCUUUCAGAUAUAUACCAGAUAUUGCAGAAAUCAUGACCAAAACCAGAGAGACUACAACACUGAAAGAUGAAGUUGGAAAGUCACAGAAACAUGCACCGAAGAUGAGAGUGCCAUGGGAAGAACACAUUGGAUUCAGUUUCCUGUAGUUUCAAUAUCAACUGACCAUCCAAGAACUUUCUUGUUUUGACACUGUGGUAGUGCCUGUGCUGGAUAAAUGAGUAUUAAUGACCUCCAUGGACUAGAUUAGUCCCAACCUGUUACAAAUACAAUCUGUCAAAAAAAAGUUUCUCGUUCCAGGUGAUGAUGUUUAGGAAGCACAGACUUCUGCUGUGCUUGGGCUGCUGCCCAGGGAAGCCUUCUCAUGAGUAAGUUACCUGUGCCCCUGGGAAAGCAGGGUGAGAAAUGACUGGUUGAAAAGAAACACUUGAGCAGCCUGAGGGCCUUGCUGAAGAAGACACUAUGAGUUGUCUUUUCCUCUUUGUUUCCUGCUGGGAGUUUUGCUGAUUCAGUAAUGAGUGCAGACCUGGCCCUUAGCACUUUCCCUCCUGCCAGAACGAUGUCAGGCAGCUGGAGCAGGAGUUCCUCACUGUCAUCUUGUAGCCCUCAUGGGCUGUGGAGACUAGAGCUGCCACCGAUCCCCAGCUCUAACUGUUUUAUGCAGCUCCAGAAAGACCUCACUCUUCUCUGGGUUGGAUAAAACUGUAUCUAAGGAGAGUCUGUGCAAUGCAUGUCCACAGAAAGUUGUCCUGAACUGCAGCCAGCAUCACCUUUCUCAUGAGUUCUCAAAGAGCACCAGCUUACUGGCUUGAAAGAGGUAGUAUUUGGUUUCUCUCAGGAAAACAUUUAUAUGUCUGUAGUCAGGAGUUCUGAAAAAUAUAUAAACCAGGAAACUUUGUCACAUUCUCGAUAGAAAGAAAUCUUUUCCCAGUGCAAUGGAAAAUCUGGGAAUUGUCGUACCAUUUCCUAGAUCAUAACAUAGAACCAUAGAAUCAUCUCCAAGCAGUUUGCUCAAUUACACAUUAAUGAAAUAAUUGCCUGAUUACUAACAAUAACUGAGUGUCAAUGUGGUGGUUCUACACAGGACUUGAGAGCAAGUAACCUUUUCUCUGAGCCCUUGUUUAGCUGUGGGGAGAUGCCACAGAAAGCCACAGGGCAGCCCAGCAAACAAAUGGCUGAGGUGCCAGCUGUUGGAUUAGAUCAGACAGAUCACCACUCUGCCAUUUUUGUAAUGAUCCCUGCGAGAAAAUGUGUGUUUUUGUAAGUUUUUCAGUCUGAAAAGAGGAAAUUACACUGGGAAAGAAAUCUUCCCCAUAAAACUCAGAGGACAGCUGAUUCAUACAUCCAGCAGUCACUGGCAUUUUAUGUGGUGCCUAAACUGUUGUUUAAACCCAUCCUUGUUAGGUUUAUAGCGACAAUUUCAGGUAGCAUCCAGUUGAUACAGCAAAAUAUUUGACCUGCUGAGUUUGUACACUCUGUGUUGGUCAUGCUUUGCAAGCCCUGUUGAGAUUUCUGGCUGUGGUUCAGGCAGCAGUCAAUGCACCAAAUUACCUACAUGACAUUGCAUAUGAGUAAUGACUGCAAAGAAUACUCUUAUUUAAUGCUUCUGAAUUUUGCUCUGUAAUGGUCAAAGAGAAUAAAGAUGUUG
Long non-coding RNA from Melopsittacus undulatus (budgerigar), 1799 nucleotides. RefSeq lists it as uncharacterized. The record is from RefSeq and is a predicted model, not a curated record. Lineage: Eukaryota; Metazoa; Chordata; Aves; Psittaciformes; Psittaculidae. The transcript has 3 exons.